RNAcentral lists this ribosomal RNA (254 nucleotides) under uncultured bacterium. RNAcentral's name for it is "partial 16S ribosomal RNA". It matches the Rfam family "Bacterial small subunit ribosomal RNA", at positions 524 to 776 of the family's 1533-position model. The record is from RNAcentral.
UACGUAGGGGGCGAGCGUUGUCCGGAUUCAUUGGGCGUAAAGAGCUCGUAGGCGGUUCAGUAAGUCGGGUGUGAAAUCUCCGUGCUCAACACGGAGCGGCCACCUGAUACUGCUGUGACUCGAGUCCGGUAGGGGAGUGUGGAAUUCCCGGUGUAGCGGUGAAAUGCGCAGAUAUCGGGAGGAGCACCAGUAGCGAAGGCGGCACUCUGGGCCGUGACUGACGCUGAGGAGCGAAAGCGUGGGUAGCAAACAGG